CCUACGGGAGGCAGCAGUGAGGAAUUUUCCGCAAUGGGCGAAAGCCUGACGGAGCAAUACCGCGUGAGGGAUGAAGGAUUUUGGUCUGUAAACCUCUUUUCUCAAGAAAGAAGUUCUGACGGUACUUGAGGAAUAAGCAUCGGCUAACUCCGUGCCAGCAGCCGCGGUAAUACGGGGGAUGCAAGCGUUAUCCGGAAUGAUUGGGCGUAAAGCGCCUGUAGGUUGUUUAUUAAGUCCGUUGUUAAAGCCUAGGGCUCAACCCUAGAAAAGCAAUGGAAACUAGUAGACUAGAGUAUGGCAGGGGUAGAGGGAAUUUCUAGUGUAGCGGUGAAAUGCGUAGAUAUUAGAAAGAACACCGGUGGCGAAAGCGCUCUACUGGACCAUUACUGACACUCAGAGGCGAAAGCUAGGGUAGCAAAAGGGAUUAGAUACCCCUGUAGUCCUAGCCGUAAACGAUGGAUACUAGAUGUUGUGUCAUUAUAGUACUAGUAUACGUAGUACGUAACGUACGUUAAGUUACGUCCGUCCGUCGGGUAGGUACGUCGUCGCGAGGGUAGGUAACGUACAAUAGUAAGUUAACGGUACGUGAGACGUCGCCGACGGACGACGACGAGGGAGGUAGG
RNAcentral lists this ribosomal RNA (623 nucleotides) under uncultured bacterium. Its description in RNAcentral is "bacterial SSU rRNA". The stretch from base 1 to 527 matches the Rfam family "Bacterial small subunit ribosomal RNA", at positions 338 to 873 of the family's 1533-position model. The record is from RNAcentral.